RNAcentral lists this long non-coding RNA (1549 nucleotides) under Malus domestica (apple). Its description in RNAcentral is "long non-coding RNA (MDOM_LNC019097)". Lineage: Eukaryota; Viridiplantae; Streptophyta; Magnoliopsida; Rosales; Rosaceae. The record is from RNAcentral.
GGAUGGGAGUUCUCUUACACAACCUUACACAACAUGCAUUAAAAGCCACAUUAUGUAAGAAAAAUUAAAUUUUACUUGUCACUUGGUUUUUGCCAUUAAAACUUAGGUGAGAUGGGUGAUGGAAAUCCUCCUAGUCAAGUCUAGGGUUUUAUAAGUUUUUAAAAUGGUUAUGGAUGGUAAGAACAUCAUCCAAAAACCAUAAAACCAUGCAUGAAAACCAAUUAAAACUAUUUUCACCCAAAACCAAACCAUGAACACCAAGAACAAAACCAUGAACACAAUAUCAAGAUUUGUACAUUCUUGGUGAUUUUUCAAACCCAAAAACAAAAAGUGACAAGAACACUUCUUUUAAGCUUUAAUAGGAUGUGUGAGUGGUUUACAAUAAAACACAAACACAACCCAAAACCACCCCCAAAACCGUGCCUACCCUUUUGAACAAAACCCCAAAUUUUGUUCAUGACUUAUUCUUCAUUCAUGCAUACAAAACAACUUUUACAUGCAUAUCUUUUUCAACUCUUGAUUUACAAUUUUCAACCAUUGAAAAAACAAAAGACAAACAUACUUUUAAAUGAAGAAAUAAUAUGUCUAACUAGUUCUAAACUCAUUUUUCAUUCAUGUAUACAAAACACUUUUGCAAACAUAUCUUUCUCAACUUUUGACUAACAUUUUUCAACUAUUGAAAAACAAAAGAUAAACAUACUUUGAAUGAAACAAUAAUAUGUCAUACAUAACAUUAAUACCCAUAUGCAUAAAAUCCAAAAGGACACAUUAUACAUAAACCAUUGGCUCUGAUACCACUUGAAGGGAAAAUUAUGAGAUUCUAUCAUGGGAUUUCAUAAUGACUAUCAUGCAUAUACAAAUCAAAAUUUAAUAUACGAAAGCAGCGGAAGCAUUUAUAACAUAUUAUCAAAGCUAUAGUCAUGCAAAUCCCCUUCAAGGUUCAUAGGUUUAUAUAUAUAAUGCAUCAAAACAAUUUUUAGAAUCAAGAACAAAGUGAAGGUUAGUCUUAUACCUCUUGAUCUAGACUUAAGACCAAGGAUGGACCACCUCCAAGGCCUUUGCUCCUUGAAAUCCUUGAGCCUAGCUUCCCUCCUUGCCUCCUCCACUUUGUUACAAUGAGUGCUCCUAGGUUCUCUUCAAGUUCCCAAAGUAGGAAACCUCUAAAGAUCCUCACCCACUAGUGUAGUGAGAAGGAUGAAGGAAUAACCAAAAGGGUGUAAGAGAUGUUAGUAAAAACUCCCCUUUGGUGGCCGGCUUUUGUGGUUCAAGAGAGCUAUUUUCUUUUGCCUCUUUUGUUGUUCAAAACUCACAAAAACCCUAAUGAACAAUAUCUUAUAAAGUUCCUUAUAUAGACAAAAGAAACCUAGUCAACACUUGACUAAAUAUCUCUCCUUUCUUCACCUAAAGUGGCCGGCCCCUUUGUGUUGUUUUUGGGCUUGGGGCUUUUAUUAUUUCAAGUCAUCCAAUGCUUGAAUAAAAGCACAAUGGGUUUAGGCCCAAUGGGCCUAAUUAAACCCGAACGUUUCUUUAAGCCCAAAACGAUCUUUAU